Molecule: ribosomal RNA, 502 nt
Filed under: uncultured bacterium
Lineage: Bacteria
Description: bacterial SSU rRNA
Rfam family: Bacterial small subunit ribosomal RNA
Source: RNAcentral
GGCUAACGCUGGCGGCGUGUCUUAGCCAUGCAAGUCGAGCGGACUUAUGGGGUAACUUAUAAGUCAGCGGCGGACGGCGGAGUAACACGUAGCUAACCUAACCCUCUGGACGGGGAUAACCUACCGAAAGGUGGGCUAAUACCCGAUGUAGUCAUCCUGUAUAGGGGUGGAUGAAAGGUGGGCGUUCUGUUUACAAGCUCAUGCUGGAGGAGGGGGCGUGCGGCCUAUCAGGUAGUUGGUAGGGUAAUAGCCUACCAAGCCGAUGACGGGUAGCCGGCCUGAGAGGGUGACCGGCCCGAGGGGCACUGAGAUACGGGUCCCACUCCUACGGGAGGCAGCAGGCUAGAAAUUUGGGCAAUGGGGGAAACCCUGACCCAGUGACGCCGCGUGCAGGAAGGAGCCCUUCGGGGUGUAAACUGCUGUCGUGUAGGGAGAAGGGUACUAAGGUGAACAAUCUUAGUACUUGACGGUACUACAGGAGGAAGCCCAGGCUAACCUCGUG